GUUUUCAUGGCGUAGUUGGUUAUCGCAUCCGUCUAACAAUCUCUGUUGGGAAGCGAGUUGUGCACGGAAGGUCCUCAGUUCGAGCCUGGGUGAAAACA
Non-coding RNA from Pterulicium gracile, 98 nucleotides. The record is from the annotation of a GenBank genome assembly. Lineage: Eukaryota; Fungi; Basidiomycota; Agaricomycetes; Agaricales; Pterulaceae.